UGCCUCAAAGAGGGGGACAACAGUUGGAAACGACUGCUAAUACCGCAUAAGCCCACGGCUCGGCAUCGAGCAGAGGGAAAAGGAGCAAUCCGCUUUGAGAUGGCCUCGCGUCCGAUUAGCUAGUUGGUGAGGUAACGGCCCACCAAGGCGACGAUCGGUAGCCGGACUGAGAGGUUGAACGGCCACAUUGGGACUGAGACACGGCCCAGACUCCUACGGGAGGCAGCAGUGGGGAAUAUUGCACAAUGGGGGAAACCCUGAUGCAGCGACGCCGCGUGGAGGAAGAAGGUCUUCGGAUUGUAAACUCCUGUUGUUGGGGAAGAUAAUGACGGUACCCAACAAGGAAGUGACGGCUAACUACGUGCCAGCAGCCGCGGUAAAACGUAGGUCACAAGCGUUGUCCGGAAUUACUGGGUGUAAAGGGAGCGCAGGCGGGAAGACAAGUUGGAAGUGAAAUCUAUGGGCUCAACCCAUAAACUGCUUUCAAAACUGUUUUUCUUGAGUAGUGCAGAGGUAGGCGGAAUUCCCGGUGUAGCGGUGGAAUGCGUAGAUAUCGGGAGGAACACCAGUGGCGAAGGCGGCCUACUGGGCACCAACUGACGCUGAGGCUCGAAAGUGUGGGUAGCAAACAGGAUUAGAUACCCUGGUAGUCCACACCGUAAACGAUGAUUACUAGGUGUUGGAGGAUUGACCCCUUCAGUGCCGCAG
RNAcentral lists this ribosomal RNA (708 nucleotides) under uncultured bacterium. RNAcentral's name for it is "bacterial SSU rRNA". It matches the Rfam family "Bacterial small subunit ribosomal RNA", at positions 127 to 851 of the family's 1533-position model. The record is from RNAcentral.